GACGAACGCUGGCGGCGUGCUUAACACAUGCAAGUCGAACGGAAAGGCCCUGCUUUUGUGGGGUGCUCGAGUGGCGAACGGGUGAGUAACACGUGAGUAACCUGCCCUUGACUUUGGGAUAACUUCAGGAAACUGGGGCUAAUACCGGAUAGGAGCUCCUGCUGCAUGGUGGGGGUUGGAAAGUUUCGGCGGUUGGGGAUGGACUCGCGGCUUAUCAGCUUGUUGGUGGGGUAGUGGCUUACCAAGGCUUUGACGGGUAGCCGGCCUGAGAGGGUGACCGGCCACAUGGGGCCUGAGAUACGGCCCAGACUCCUACGGGAGGCAGAAGUGGGGAAUAUUGCACAAUGGGCGGAAGCCUGAUGCAGCAACGCCGCGUGCGGAUGACGGCCUUCGGGUUGUAAACCGCUUUCGCCUGUGACGAAGCGUGAGUGACGGUAAUGGGUAAAGAAGCACCGGCUAACUACGUG
Molecule: ribosomal RNA, 467 nt
Filed under: uncultured bacterium
Lineage: Bacteria
Description: partial 16S ribosomal RNA
Rfam family: Bacterial small subunit ribosomal RNA
Source: RNAcentral